This 764-nucleotide ribosomal RNA is filed under the name uncultured bacterium. Its description in RNAcentral is "bacterial SSU rRNA". It matches the Rfam family "Bacterial small subunit ribosomal RNA", at positions 31 to 767 of the family's 1533-position model. The record is from RNAcentral.
GAACGCUGGCGGCGUGCCUAACACAUGCAAGUCGUACGAGAAAUCCCGAGCUUGCUUGGGAGAGUAAAGUGGCGCACGGGUGAGUAACGCGUGGGUAACCCACCUUCGAAUCUGGGAUAACUCCGCGAAAGCGGUGCUAAUACCGGAUAAGACCACAGCCGUUUCGGCGGCAGAGGUAAAAGCUGACCUCUCCAUGGAAGUUAGCGUUCGAGGACGGGCCCGCGUCCUAUCAGCUUGUUGGUGGGGUAAAGGCCUACCAAGGCAGCGACGGGUAGCUGGUCUGAGAGGAUGAUCAGCCACACUGGAACUGGAACACGGUCCAGACUCCUACGGGAGGCAGCAGUGAGGAAUUUUGCGCAAUGGGGGAAACCCUGACGCAGCAACGCCGCGUGGGUGAAGAAGGCUUUCGGGUCGUAAAGCCCUGUCAGGUGGGAAGAACCGUUUCGAUACUAAUAAUGUCGAAGCCUGACGGUACCACCAGAGGAAGCACCGGCCAACUCCGUGCCAGCAGCCGCGGUAAUACGGAGGGUGCAAGCGUUGUUCGGAAUUAUUGGGCGUAAAGAGCGUGUAGGCGGUUUGGUAAGUCAGAUGUGAAAGCCCUGGGCUCAACCCAGGAAGUGCAUUUGAAACUACCAGACUUGAGUACGGGAGAGGAGGGGGGAAUUCCCGGUGUAGAGGUGAAAUUCGUAGAUAUCGGGAGGAAUACCAGUGGCGAAGGCGCCCCUCUGGACCGAUACUGACGCUGAGACGCGAAAGCGUGGGGA